This 1558-nucleotide long non-coding RNA is filed under the name Bemisia tabaci. RNAcentral's name for it is "lncRNA ENSSSA1UGG001501". Lineage: Eukaryota; Metazoa; Arthropoda; Insecta; Hemiptera; Aleyrodidae. The record is from RNAcentral.
AUGUGUUAAAUUUAUAAUAUAGAUAUUAUAAUUUUAAAGGAGGCGUGUUAAGGUUAUCACCUUAUCUCUGUAGUUAAUCUAAAUUACUUGAUCGACAAGAUUGCUUGCUACUCUUUCACUUUUCAGAACUUGUCUCUUGUCUUCGAUAUGCUUUGUUCCUAUGUGGUCAUUCGGUUAAUAAAGAAGUCCAUGAUUUAAAUAAAGUUGUCUUUAUUGAAAUCCUUAUAUCUUAAUCUUAACAGAGACUUGUCUAUUUAUUAGAAGACAAAGAAUGGGAUAUCAUACCUGAGUGUUGGAUAUUGGAUGGAAAUGAUAGUGCCAAGUAUCCAACAGCUUUGGGAAAAGAAUUAGAAGACCUUGUGAAAGACGGAAAGGACCUAACGGAGAAAUAUAGGUACGAUUGUCAACAUCAAAACGGACGAACAAAAUUAUAAGGAUUAAUCGCUCGCCUAUGAGGAUUUAGUAAGACGCACAAAAAAAAAAAAGACAGUCAAAGAGUCCGAAGAUGAACGAGCUCAACGCAAAAAAAGAAACCGCAUCACGCCGAAGCAUUUGAAAGAAGCUUUAGAGUCUUCUACUGGGAAAAAUUCGGCAGCCUCCUCGAAAAGGGCCCAAAAAGGCCCUCCUUCUUCGCCAUUAGAACUGCCGAAAUUAACAGCCACCAAUUUGCUGUCUUGGGCAAACGUCAAAGACUCCAAAGGAAAAAAGAUCCUGCCCAAAAAAAAUGAUCAAAUUCCACUCAAAGACCCGCCCAAAAAAAAUGAUCGAAUUCCACUCAGAGACCCGCCUAAAAAAAAUGAUCGAAUUCCACUCAAAGACCCGCCCAAAAAGAAUGAUUCAACUCCACUCAAAGUCUCCAGUUCUGGUGGAAAUAAUAAACGUCAACCCCAAGGUACCGAAAAUUCCAGUACUGAAGGAAAUCAAUCUGCACAUCAGGAUUCUCCCAAAGGCUCAUUGGAAUUGAUCCACAAAAGUCUUCGCCAACUGACCAAGUCAAACGAAGAUUUAAGAAAAGACACAGUAAAAGGUCUACAAGAUGUCAACUCCUCCCUUCAACUUUUAACCAAACAAAUGAAGUCUCCUUCAGUGAACUGCACUGAAAGCUUAUCAACUCAUCUACCACGGGCUGAAGUAAAAGAAGAAGUUUUGGCUGGUUUACCUCUAAUGGAUAAGGCUGGUUUAAAGAAAUUCAACGAAGACUUGAGCAACGAGGAAUUUUAUAAACACGCAGUCAGUGCAUUAGCAUACACUGCUUCAAAAGCAAAACAUCCCACUGGCACUGCCCGGAACGUUCUUGGAAAAAUAUUUUCAAAUAAAAUAACCGGCAAAUUUACUUGGAUAGGUCAGAAAAGGACCAUUAAGGACCGUGAUGGGGAGAAAAAAUUGAAAAGAAAAUACCAUUCAGCCGCUUGCGAUUGAAACAGCUCAUGAUGGAUGUGACCAUGAUUUUACAACAAAAAGUUGUCACCGAGGAAGAAGUUAAAGAUUCCAUCAACGGAUGGUUCUCCCAAACAUCCAAAGCGGCAAAAGGGAAGAAAAAAAAUACUUGUCAGAGCAA